UUUCUAAAGCUAUCAACUGAACCAAUAAACUUGCAAUGUAAAAUUUUAGAAAUUUUUGUGCAAUUUUUCAGCUGAAAAUGUGUUUUUUAAAGCAAUUUUGUUGUUGUAGUUCUGCAGUGACUAGUCCUUUAGCAGCUGACAGCAAGUUCACUCAUGCCCGCGAAACCGGUGUGGCUUCACAUGCUGCAGGUUGCUGCAAGCACUGAAGCUACUGCGAAAGUUGACGAAAACUUCGAAAAAAUGUGACGGCGUGCGCGUCUCUGAACCUGCUUGCUGCGUCCUGCGUACAACAACGCCGACUACUCACAGCUGGCGGGUGCGAAGAUGGAUGAUGGGUGCGAGUCCUUUGCACGCUGUUACAGCUGGCCUGUAUGUUGAACAGUUUGUGCCACACUGCCAAAGCCACGGCGAAAGCCUGGGCGUUUAAGGUGCCCCUGCCACCGGACUUCCGCACAAGUAAAGUGCUGAAGUCGGGAAGCUUGUAGAACUUAUUGCUCCGCGGCGAUUAAAUUAAUAAACGCCUUUGUUCAUUGUUA
Long non-coding RNA from Dermacentor silvarum, 536 nucleotides. RefSeq lists it as uncharacterized. The record is from RefSeq and is a predicted model, not a curated record. Lineage: Eukaryota; Metazoa; Arthropoda; Arachnida; Ixodida; Ixodidae. The transcript is spliced from 2 exons.